UGAUAUACGCUCGUCUCAAAGGUUAAGCCAUGCAUGUCUAAGUACAAGCUUCCUAGAAAGUGAAACCGCAUAAGGCUCAGCAUAACAGCUAUAAUUUACAAGAUCCUCAUCCAAACAGUUACUUGGAUAACUGUGGAAAAGCCAGAGUUAAUACAUGCAUUAUGCCGGGACUGUUGGCCUCCGGGUCGGCGGAACUGGUGCACUUAUUAGUUAAACCAAUCGCCUCCGGGCGCUUUGAGUUGAAAUCUGGAUAAGGAUGCCGAUCGUACGGUCGCUUGCGACUGACGACAGAUCUUUCAAAUGUCUGCCCUAUCAACUAUUGAUGGUAGUGUAGAGGACUACCAUGGUUGCGACGGGUAACGGGGAAUCAGGGUUCGAUUCCUGAGAGGGAGCCUGAGAAAUGGCUACCACAUCCAAGGAAGGCAGCAGGCGCGUAAAUUACCCAAUCCCGGCACGGGGAGGUAGUGACGAGAAAUAACAAUAUGGACCUCUCUAACGAUGGUCCAUAAUUGGAAUGAGUUGAGCAUAAAUCCUUUUGCAAGGAUCAAGUGGAGGGCAAGUCUGGUGCCAGCAGCCGCGGUAAUUCCAGCUCCACUAGCGUAUAUUA
This 607-nucleotide ribosomal RNA is filed under the name Anopheles gambiae str. PEST. RNAcentral describes it as "SSU rRNA". It matches the Rfam family "Eukaryotic small subunit ribosomal RNA", at positions 21 to 606 of the family's 1831-position model. Lineage: Eukaryota; Metazoa; Arthropoda; Insecta; Diptera; Culicidae. The record is from RNAcentral.